CGGUCUCCUCCUAAAGAGUAACGGAGGAGCACGAAGGUUGGCUAAUCCUGGUCGGACAUCAGGAGGUUAGUGCAAUGGCAUAAGCCAGCUUGACUGCGAGCGUGACGGCGCGAGCAGGUGCGAAAGCAGGUCAUAGUGAUCCGGUGGUUCUGAAUGGAAGGGCCAUCGCUCAACGGAUAAAAGGUACUCCGGGGAUAACAGGCUGAUACCGCCCAAGAGUUCAUAUCGACGGCGGUGUUUGGCACCUCGAUGUCGGCUCAUCACAUCCUGGGGCUGAAGUAGGUCCCAAGGGUAUGGCUGUUCGCCAUUUAAAGUGGUACGCGAGCUGGGUUUAGAACGUCGUGAGACAGUUCGGUCCCUAUCUGCCGUGGGCGCUGGAGAACUGAGGGGGGCUGCUCCUAGUACGAGAGGACCGGAGUGGACGCAUCACUGGUGUUCGGGUUGUCAUGCCAAUGGCACUGCCCGGUAGCUAAAUGCGGAAGAGAUAAGUGCUGAAAGCAUCUAAGCACGAAACUUGCCCCGAGAUGAGUUCUCCCUGACUCCUUGAGAGUCCUGAAGGAACGUUGAAGACGACGACGUUGAUAGGCCGGGUGUGUAAGCGCAGCGAUGCGUUGAGCUAACCGGUACUAAUGAACCGUGAGG
RNAcentral lists this ribosomal RNA (642 nucleotides) under Escherichia coli. RNAcentral's name for it is "partial 23S ribosomal RNA". It matches the Rfam family "Bacterial large subunit ribosomal RNA", at positions 2280 to 2916 of the family's 2925-position model. The record is from RNAcentral. Lineage: Bacteria; Pseudomonadati; Pseudomonadota; Gammaproteobacteria; Enterobacterales; Enterobacteriaceae. RNAcentral also lists the same sequence under 1 other name.